AGAGUUGUAUCCUGGCUCAGGAUGAACGCUAGCGGCAGGCCUAACACAUGCAAGUCGAGGGGUAACAGGAAAGCUUGCUUUUGCUGACGACCGGCGCACGGGUGCGUAACGCGUAUGCAACCUACCUCAUACUGGAGCAUAGCCCUUGGAAACGAGGAUUAAUACUCCAUGGUAUCAUGAAUUCGCAUGUUUUCAUGAUUAAAGAAUUUCGGUAUGAGAUGGGCAUGCGUCCCAUUAGCUAGUUGGUGAGGUAACGGCUCACCAAGGCGACGAUGGGUAGGGGGCCUGAGAGGGUGGUCCCCCACACUGGUACUGAGACACGGACCAGACUCCUACGGGAGGCAGCAGUGAGGAAUAUUGGUCAAUGGAGGCAACUCUGAACCAGCCAUGCCGCGUGAAGGAUGACGGCCCUAUGGGUUGUAAACUUCUUUUAUAUGGGAAGAAACUUAUCUACGUGUAGAUAACUGACGGUACCAUACGAAUAAGGAUCGGCUAACUCCGUGCCAGCAGCCGCGGUAAUACGGAGGAUCCAAGCGUUAUCCGGAUUCAUUGGGUUUAAAGGGUCCGUGGGCGGAUUUUUAAGUCAGUGGUGAAAGCCGACAGCUCAACUGUCGAACUGCCAUUGAUACUGGAGAUCUUGAGUACAAAUGAAGUAGGCGGAAUGAGUCAUGUAGCGGUGAAAUGCAUAGAUAUGACUCAGAACACCAAUUGC
Molecule: ribosomal RNA, 712 nt
Filed under: uncultured Bacteroidota bacterium
Lineage: Bacteria; Pseudomonadati; Bacteroidota
Description: bacterial SSU rRNA
Rfam family: Bacterial small subunit ribosomal RNA
Source: RNAcentral